CCCUUAUGAUGGGAAAAAAGAGAUUUCCCCAAAUCGAAUCCGUGAGGCGUGAAGUCAUUUUUCCCAAAUCCGCCUCAUGAACCCUACGUCCCAAAAUCGAUCCAAUAUGCUAGAAGACUGUAAGGAUUCAAAAAUUCGAUCGACGACAUACAGUAAUUGAGAGUUGUUACUACGCAAUCAUGAUCUAAAUUAAAAUAAAGGUAAAUGUUCAUCUACUGAAAUGUGAUAAUGAACAUAACAUAUGAAAAUAUCUAUGUGAAAGGAUUUUGUUUUGAAAAUUUAAGAAGUAAAUAAAUGAAAGAUUUAGUUAGAGAAGAAGAUGCAUGCGAUUGUUUUGUCACUGAUUGCUGUAGAUGCAUAUUAUUUAUAAGAAUAGUGAAAAUACGAAAUAAACGACAAUAAACUAUACGUUUCAGAGAUUAACUUUUAGGAAAUAUUUGUGGAUGAUUAUUUAUGUUGCUGUGGAUGCAAUAGCAGUUGUGAAUGCAUACUAUAUAUCUUCCAUCAAUUUACUUCUCAGCUGAUUAUUUAUGAACAUUUUGUGGAUGCAAUGGCAGUUGUUAAUGGCAAGGAGGAACAAGGGCAUUUGUUGUAGCUAUAGGAAGUCGGGCCAUUGGAUGUCUGUCUGCUCGACAAAACAAAAGUGCCCAAGGUGUUUUUUGGGCAUUGUCAAGUGUAUUGAAGUGAAGAAAAAAUUACAAACGAAGGUCAGUUACUUCGAUCUUACAGUAGAGACUAUAGUUAUCAUAACUAGGGUGGUCGUCCGGCCGUUGAAGAAUAACCCCUGCAAUUUGAAGGCACAUCGAUCGAAGAUUAGAUUGUAGAUUUGUCACGUAUGUUACAGAGUGUUGCUCACAUAGUUGACCAGAAGGACAUGGAUAUCUUUAUCAAUGUGACUAUCGAAAUUGGAAAAGGAGAUAUAGAAGAUAAUGGGAAAGGAAAGGGAAAGGGAAAAAUGCCAUGAAUUUUAGCCGAAUAUGUGAUGAAUUGAAUGACUUGUAUUGUACUGACAUCAACUGAAAUUUAUCUACUUGUUAUCAACAUAUUUAAAAUUGUACGGAGAAAUCGAGUUGUAUGGAUAACGUCGUUUUCUUUAUUUAUGCACUUAGAAGUUUAUCUUAUGAUUCCAAAUAUUCU
RNAcentral lists this long non-coding RNA (1137 nucleotides) under Olea europaea subsp. europaea. The record is from RNAcentral. Lineage: Eukaryota; Viridiplantae; Streptophyta; Magnoliopsida; Lamiales; Oleaceae.